UGCGUAGGGGGCGAGCGUUGUCCGGAAUUAUUGGGCGUAAAGGGCGUGUAGACGGUCAUAUAAGUUACAGGUGAAAGCCCAUUUUUCAAGGAUGGAACUGCCUGUAAGACUGUAAGACUUGAGUGCAGGAGAGGGAAGCGGAAUUCCAAGUGUAGCGGUGAAAUGCGUAGAUAUUUGGAGGAACACCAGUGGCGAAGGCGGCUUUCUGGACUGCAACUGACGUUGAGGCGCGAAAGCGUGGGGAGCAAACAGG
RNAcentral lists this ribosomal RNA (253 nucleotides) under uncultured prokaryote. Its description in RNAcentral is "partial 16S ribosomal RNA". It matches the Rfam family "Bacterial small subunit ribosomal RNA", at positions 524 to 776 of the family's 1533-position model. The record is from RNAcentral.